GACCUACGUCAAAUAGCCACAAAACCAUUAUGGCCAUUAUAUAAAGAAUGGAAAAUAAAAUUUCGUCACAUGUCCCUUUGUAAUUUGUUAAUUAUAAUGGAGCCCAAAUUUUGCAUUUUGAUAUAAUGAAUCAUUCUACGGUCAGUGUUACGGUGGUAUCAUAGAUAUCUCGGAUCUAUUGUACUAUCAUUGAUGCCUC
Molecule: long non-coding RNA, 199 nt
Filed under: Elaeis guineensis (African oil palm)
Lineage: Eukaryota; Viridiplantae; Streptophyta; Magnoliopsida; Arecales; Arecaceae
Description: long non-coding RNA (EGUI_LNC044145)
Source: RNAcentral